AAAAUGACUCUCGGCAACGGAUAUCUCGGCUCUCGCAUCGAUGAAGAACGUAGCGAAAUGCGAUACUUGGUGUGAAUUGCAGAAUCCCGUGAACCAUCGAGUCUUUGAACGCAAGUUGCGCCCUAAGCCUUAGGGCUGAGGGCACGUCUGCCUGGGUGUCACGC
Molecule: ribosomal RNA, 164 nt
Filed under: Lasiosiphon wilmsii
Lineage: Eukaryota; Viridiplantae; Streptophyta; Magnoliopsida; Malvales; Thymelaeaceae
Description: Gnidia wilmsii 5.8S ribosomal RNA
Rfam family: 5.8S ribosomal RNA
About the family: 5.8S ribosomal RNA (5.8S rRNA) is a component of the large subunit of the eukaryotic ribosome. It is transcribed by RNA polymerase I as part of the 45S precursor that also contains 18S and 28S rRNA.
Source: RNAcentral